RNAcentral lists this ribosomal RNA (468 nucleotides) under uncultured bacterium. RNAcentral's name for it is "partial 16S ribosomal RNA". It matches the Rfam family "Bacterial small subunit ribosomal RNA", at positions 28 to 507 of the family's 1533-position model. The record is from RNAcentral.
GACGAACGCUGGCGGCGUGCUUAACGCAUGCAAGUCGAACGGAAAGGCCCUGCUUUUGUCUGGUGCUCGCGUGGCGAACGGGUGAGUAACACGUGAGUAACCUGCCCUUUACUUUGUGACAACUUCAGGCAACUGCUGAUAAUACCGGAUAGGAGCUCCUGCUGCAUGGUGGGGUUUGGACAGUUUCGGCGGUUGGGGAUGUACUGGCGGUUUAUCAGCUUGUUGGUGGGGUAGCUGCUUACCAAGGCGUUGAUUGCUAGCCGGCCUGGGAGGGGGGACGGGCACAUGGGGACUGAGAUACGGCGCAGACUCCUACGGGAGGCAGCAGUGGGGAAUAUUGCACAAUGGGCGGAAGCGUAUGGCAGCAGCGCCGCGUGUGGGAUGACGGCCUUCGGGGGGGAAACCGCAUUAGGCUGUGACGAAGCGGUAUUGACGGUACUGGGUAAAGAAGCACCGGCUAACUACGUG